This 253-nucleotide ribosomal RNA is filed under the name uncultured bacterium. RNAcentral describes it as "partial 16S ribosomal RNA". It matches the Rfam family "Bacterial small subunit ribosomal RNA", at positions 524 to 776 of the family's 1533-position model. The record is from RNAcentral.
GACAUAGGUGGCAAACGUUAUCCGGAAUUAUUGGGCGUAAAGAGUGCGUAGGCGGUCCUGUAAGUUUGGUGUGAAAUCUCCCGGCUCAACUGGGAGGGUGCGCCGAAGACUGCAGGGCUUGAGUAUGGGAGAGGUAAGCGGAAUUCCUGGUGUAGCGGUGAAAUGCGUAGAUAUCAGGAGGAACACCGGUGGCGAAGGCGGUUCUCUGGGCAUUACCUGACGCUGAGGAGCGAAAGUGUGGGGAGCGAACAGG